Non-coding RNA from Monodelphis domestica (gray short-tailed opossum), 598 nucleotides. NCBI's taxonomy places the organism in Eukaryota, Metazoa, Chordata, Mammalia, Didelphimorphia, Didelphidae. The record is from RefSeq and is a predicted model, not a curated record.
UUUAUAGCUGUACCCUUUGGGUAUAGUUCCAAAUUGUGGUAGGAAAUCUUUUUAACUUGUUUUCCCUGUAUGCUAGUAUGGAAAUUUGCUAGACUCUGUUCAAAUUCAGGCCUCCCUGCUCUUCUAUGAGACUGAGAUUGAGUAGGCUUCAAGGACUGUUGCUUCCUCCCAGAUGCCUUUGCUUUUUGACCUGAGUCCAAACUAUUGCAGCUACAGCCCUGGAAUUCACCCAAGUCAGCACCAAGCAUGGGACCUGCUCUUUUAGCAUUUCCCAAUUCUGUGUAUUGAUCUUUAGCAUUCCUGAUUCUGUGUAUUUAUCUCCAUGUACCAAUUUUUAUUGAUAUUCAAGGAGGACCAACACCUGUGGUGUGAGGGCUUGUGGAGCUCUUUUCAAGGCUGCUCUUCCAUCUUUGGCAUCCACCUGGCAUUCUCACCUGUGAUUCUAAGACACUGUAGCUUGCAUAGCUGCUACACCCCCAGCAAACCACCUGGGCAGCUAUAAAAGAACCCUAGGCUGUGAUGGGCAUUGGGAAGUUUAGUUUUCUGCAUUAGGCUGUCUCUGCAAUUCCCUAAUAAAGAUGCCUGGUUUAUUUCUAAA